Non-coding RNA from Hydra vulgaris (swiftwater hydra), 125 nucleotides. The record is from RefSeq and is a predicted model, not a curated record. Lineage: Eukaryota; Metazoa; Cnidaria; Hydrozoa; Anthoathecata; Hydridae.
CAUCAUGUGAACAAGUUGCUUCAAGCAUUAUUAAAAACAAGAUGAAGCGAGAAGGCAUAGAGAGAGGCCAAUCCUUUAAAAUAUCUACAGGUGGGAAUCCAUUAACUUUAACCGUUGGAACUAAA